Molecule: ribosomal RNA, 460 nt
Filed under: uncultured bacterium
Lineage: Bacteria
Description: partial 16S ribosomal RNA
Rfam family: Bacterial small subunit ribosomal RNA
Source: RNAcentral
CCUACGGGAGGCAGCAGUGAGGAAUAUUGGUCAAUGGACGAGAGUCUGAACCAGCCAAGUAGCGUGAAGGAUGACUGCCCUAUGGGUUGUAAACUUCUUUUAUAUGGGAAUAAAAUGUUCCACGUGUGGGAUUUUGUAUGUACCAUAUGAAUAAGGAUCGGCUAACUCCGUGCCAGCAGCCGCGGUAAUACGGAGGAUCCGAGCGUUAUCCGGAUUUAUUGGGUUUAAAGGGAGCGUAGGUGGAUUGUUAAGUCAGUUGUGAAAGUUUGCGGCUCAACCGUAAAAUUGCAGUUGAAACUGGCAGUCUUGAGUACAGUAGAGGUGGGCGGAAUUCGUGGUGUAGCGGUGAAAUGCUUAGAUAUCACUAAGAACUCCGAUUGCGAAGGCAGUUCACUGGACUGCAACUGACACUGAGGCUCGAAAGUGUGGCUAUCAAACAGGAUUAGAUACCCGGGUAGUC